UUAUUGAUUGUUAUUUCCAUCCUUUAUUUUCUGAUAAGAAUGCAUUUAGCUUCCGAGGUGAAGCGGCCAUCUGCCCCGAUUGUGUGUUUCUGAUUCAUUUAGCGAGACUAGCGCGGAUGUGUCUCCAGCUUUCAAAUGAGGCAUUUGCUGGUCGCUUUGCGUAUUUUUGAAUAUGUUCUGGCCUCGGACAUCCCAAGGUUACUGAUAAAAGCAGCGUAAACAUUGGUUCUAUCAACUCAAACACGGGGAAGAACCAGCUUGGUUGAAACUUUUAAAAUUAGAAACACCAUUAUAACUUGCAGCCAAUUUGACUGUGGAUUUACUUGCGAUGGGAAUGUCCAACUUCUAUACAUUUUGUUGC
Molecule: non-coding RNA, 361 nt
Organism: Schizosaccharomyces pombe (fission yeast)
Lineage: Eukaryota; Fungi; Ascomycota; Schizosaccharomycetes; Schizosaccharomycetales; Schizosaccharomycetaceae
Source: the annotation of a GenBank genome assembly